GUGAAUCAUCGAAUUUUUGAACGCAAAUUGCACUCUCUUCGGAGAGUAUGCCUGUUUGAGGGUCAGUAUUAAUAAAAACCGGUGUGUAGCUUCUUUGUGACGCUCCGGAGUUUGGGUCAUCUUAACAUCCUUUAGGUUUUAUGUUACUUAAAUUUGACUUUUUUUGUUCAUUUUAGAUGUACAUAUAUUCUUUUUUUUAUUCGUCUGUCUUAAUGCUCAAUUUCAUAUUAGAUGCGACCAUAUU
RNAcentral lists this unclassified non-coding RNA (244 nucleotides) under Rhizophagus sp. (in: glomeromycetes). Its description in RNAcentral is "partial contains 5.8S ribosomal RNA and internal transcribed spacer 2". The stretch from base 1 to 65 matches the Rfam family "5.8S ribosomal RNA", at positions 84 to 154 of the family's 154-position model. Lineage: Eukaryota; Fungi; Glomeromycota; Glomeromycetes; Glomerales; Glomeraceae. The record is from RNAcentral.